RNAcentral lists this ribosomal RNA (401 nucleotides) under uncultured bacterium. RNAcentral's name for it is "bacterial SSU rRNA". It matches the Rfam family "Bacterial small subunit ribosomal RNA", at positions 29 to 417 of the family's 1533-position model. The record is from RNAcentral.
AAUCAACGCUGGCGGCGUGCCUAACACAUGCAAGUCGAACGCGAAAGUCCCGCAAGGGAUGAGUAGAGUGGCAAACGGGUGAGUAACACGUGGGUGACCUGCCUUCGAGCGGGGGAUAACGUCCCGAAAGGGACGCUAAUACCGCGUAAUAUGCCGCCUUUUAACAGGUGGACAUCAAAGCUGGGGAUCGCAAGACCUAGCGCUUGAAGAGGGGCCCGCGUCUGAUUAGCUAGUUGGUGGGGAAUGGCUCACCAAGGCAACGAUCAGUAUCCGGCCUGAGAGGGCGGACGGACACACUGGGACUGAGACACGGCCCAUACUCCUACGGGAGGCAGCAGUGGGGAAUCUUGCGCAAUGGGCGAAAGCCUGACGCAGCGACGCCGCGUGAGGGAUGACGGCCU